Molecule: ribosomal RNA, 3019 nt
Filed under: Salmonella enterica subsp. enterica serovar Weltevreden
Lineage: Bacteria; Pseudomonadati; Pseudomonadota; Gammaproteobacteria; Enterobacterales; Enterobacteriaceae
Description: bacterial LSU rRNA
Rfam family: Bacterial large subunit ribosomal RNA
Source: RNAcentral
UUAAGCGACUAAGCGUACACGGUGGAUGCCCUGGCAGUCAGAGGCGAUGAAGGGCGUGCUAAUCUGCGAUAAGCGCCGGUAAGGUGAUAUGAACCGUUAUAACCGGCGAUACCCGAAUGGGGAAACCCAGUGUGACUCGUCACACUAUCAUUAACUGAAUCCAUAGGUUAAUGAGGCGAACCGGGGGAACUGAAACAUCUAAGUACCCCGAGGAAAAGAAAUCAACCGAGAUUCCCCCAGUAGCGGCGAGCGAACGGGGAGGAGCCCAGAGCCUGAAUCAGCAUGUGUGUUAGUGGAAGCGUCUGGAAAGGCGCGCGAUACAGGGUGACAGCCCCGUACACAAAAGCGCAUGUGCUGUGAGCUCGAUGAGUAGGGCGGGACACGUGGUAUCCUGUCUGAAUAUGGGGGGACCAUCCUCCAAGGCUAAAUACUCCUGACUGACCGAUAGUGAACCAGUACCGUGAGGGAAAGGCGAAAAGAACCCCGGCGAGGGGAGUGAAAAAGAACCUGAAACCGUGUACGUACAAGCAGUGGGAGCCCCACCACCAAAGCGUUUCGCUUUGUGUGGUGCACAAAGAAGCGUAACGACAGCACUGAAUGACGGUUAACGGAGCGCAAGCGACGUUCAACAUACAAAGUCAAGCAGUGGAGCGCUUUGGGGUGGGGUGACUGCGUACCUUUUGUAUAAUGGGUCAGCGACUUAUAUUCUGUAGCAAGGUUAACCGAAUAGGGGAGCCGGAGGGAAACCGAGUCUUAAUUGGGCGUUAAGUUGCAGGGUAUAGACCCGAAACCCGGUGAUCUAGCCAUGGGCAGGUUGAAGGUUGGGUAACACUAACUGGAGGACCGAACCGACUAAUGUUGAAAAAUUAGCGGAUGACCUGUGGCUGGGGGUGAAAGGCCAAUCAAACCGGGAGAUAGCUGGUUCUCCCCGAAAGCUAUUUAGGUAGCGCCUCGUGAAUUCAUCUCCGGGGGUAGAGCACUGUUUCGGCUAGGGGGCCAUCCCGGCUUACCAACCCGAUGCAAACUGCGAAUACCGGAGAAUGUUAUCACGGGAGACACACGGCGGGUGCUAACGUCCGUCGUGAAGAGGGAAACAACCCAGACCGCCAGCUAAGGUCCCAAAGUCAUGGUUAAGUGGGAAACGAUGUGGGAAGGCCCAGACAGCCAGGAUGUUGGCUUAGAAGCAGCCAUCAUUUAAAGAAAGCGUAAUAGCUCACUGGUCGAGUCGGCCUGCGCGGAAGAUGUAACGGGGCUAAACCAUGCACCGAAGCUGCGGCAGCGACGCUUAUGCGUUGUUGGGUAGGGGAGCGUUCUGUAAGCCUGUGAAGGUGGCCUGUGAGGGUUGCUGGAGGUAUCAGAAGUGCGAAUGCUGACAUAAGUAACGAUAAAGCGGGUGAAAAGCCCGCUCGCCGGAAGACCAAGGGUUCCUGUCCAACGUUAAUCGGGGCAGGGUGAGUCGACCCCUAAGGCGAGGCCGAAAGGCGUAGUCGAUGGGAAACGGGUUAAUAUUCCCGUACUUGGUGUUACUGCGAAGGGGGGACGGAGAAGGCUAUGUUGGCCGGGCGACGGUUGUCCCGGUUUAAGCGUGUAGGUGUGUGUUCCAGGUAAAUCCGGUUCACUUUAACACUGAGGCGUGACGACGAGGCACUACGGUGCUGAAGCAACAAAUGCCCUGCUUCCAGGAAAAGCCUCUAAGCAUCAGGUAACAUCAAAUCGUACCCCAAACCGACACAGGUGGUCAGGUAGAGAAUACCAAGGCGCUUGAGAGAACUCGGGUGAAGGAACUAGGCAAAAUGGUGCCGUAACUUCGGGAGAAGGCACGCUGACACGUAGGUGAAGUGAUUUACUCAUGGAGCUGAAGUCAGUCGAAGAUACCAGCUGGCUGCAACUGUUUAUUAAAAACACAGCACUGUGCAAACACGAAAGUGGACGUAUACGGUGUGACGCCUGCCCGGUGCCGGAAGGUUAAUUGAUGGGGUCAGCGCAAGCGAAGCUCCUGAUCGAAGCCCCGGUAAACGGCGGCCGUAACUAUAACGGUCCUAAGGUAGCGAAAUUCCUUGUCGGGUAAGUUCCGACCUGCACGAAUGGCGUAAUGAUGGCCAGGCUGUCUCCACCCGAGACUCAGUGAAAUUGAACUCGCUGUGAAGAUGCAGUGUACCCGCGGCAAGACGGAAAGACCCCGUGAACCUUUACUAUAGCUUGACACUGAACAUUGAGCCUUGAUGUGUAGGAUAGGUGGGAGGCUUUGAAGUGUGGACGCCAGUCUGCAUGGAGCCGACCUUGAAAUACCACCCUUUAAUGUUUGAUGUUCUAACGUGGACCCGUAAUCCGGGUUGCGGACAGUGUCUGGUGGGUAGUUUGACUGGGGCGGUCUCCUCCUAAAGAGUAACGGAGGAGCACGAAGGUUGGCUAAUCCUGGUCGGACAUCAGGAGGUUAGUGCAAUGGCAUAAGCCAGCUUGACUGCGAGCGUGACGGCGCGAGCAGGUGCGAAAGCAGGUCAUAGUGAUCCGGUGGUUCUGAAUGGAAGGGCCAUCGCUCAACGGAUAAAAGGUACUCCGGGGAUAACAGGCUGAUACCGCCCAAGAGUUCAUAUCGACGGCGGUGUUUGGCACCUCGAUGUCGGCUCAUCACAUCCUGGGGCUGAAGUAGGUCCCAAGGGUAUGGCUGUUCGCCAUUUAAAGUGGUACGCGAGCUGGGUUUAGAACGUCGUGAGACAGUUCGGUCCCUAUCUGCCGUGGGCGCUGGAGAACUGAGGGGGGCUGCUCCUAGUACGAGAGGACCGGAGUGGACGCAUCACUGGUGUUCGGGUUGUCAUGCCAAUGGCACUGCCCGGUAGCUAAAUGCGGAAGAGAUAAGUGCUGAAAGCAUCUAAGCACGAAACUUGCCCCGAGAUGAGUUCUCCCUGAGACUUUAGGUCUCCUGAAGGAACGUUGAAGACGACGACGUUGAUAGGCCGGGUGUGUAAGCGCAGCGAUGCGUUGAGCUAACCGGUACUAAUGAACCGUGAGGCUUAACCUU